Molecule: ribosomal RNA, 253 nt
Filed under: uncultured bacterium
Lineage: Bacteria
Description: partial 16S ribosomal RNA
Rfam family: Bacterial small subunit ribosomal RNA
Source: RNAcentral
UACGAAGGGGGCUAGCGUUGCUCGGAAUCACUGGGCGUAAAGGGUGCGUAGGCGGGUCUUUAAGUCAGGGGUGAAAUCCUGGAGCUCAACUCCAGAACUGCCUUUGAUACUGAGGAUCUUGAGUUCGGGAGAGGUGAGUGGAACUGCGAGUGUAGAGGUGAAAUUCGUAGAUAUUCGCAAGAACACCAGUGGCGAAGGCGGCUCACUGGCCCGAUACUGACGCUGAGGCACGAAAGCGUGGGGAGCAAAAGGG